AGAAUCAACGCUGGCGGCGUGCCUAACACAUGCAAGUCGCACGAGAAAGGGACUUCGGUCCUGAGUACAGUGGCGCACGGGUGAGUAACACGUGAAUCAUCUACCUUCGAGUGGGGAAUAACUGAGAGAAAUCUUAGCUAAUACCGCAUAAUACCUACGGGUCAAAGCAGCAAUGCGCUUGAAGAGGAGUUCGUGGCAGAUUAGUUAGUUGGCGGGGUAAUGGCCCACCAAGACGAUGAUCUGUAUCC
Molecule: ribosomal RNA, 248 nt
Filed under: uncultured bacterium
Lineage: Bacteria
Description: partial small subunit ribosomal RNA
Rfam family: Bacterial small subunit ribosomal RNA
Source: RNAcentral